CACGGGAGGGUGCAAGCGUUAAUCGGAAUUACUGGGCGUAAAGCGCGCGUAGGCGGCUUAGUAAGUCGGAUGUGAAAGCCCCGGGCUUAACCUGGGAACUGCAUUCGAUACUGCUGGGCUAGAGUAUGGAAGAGGGAAGUGGAAUUCCGGGUGUAGCGGUGAAAUGCGUAGAUAUCCGGAGGAACACCAGUGGCGAAAGGCGACUUCCUGGGGCCAAAUACUGACGCUGAGGUGCGAAAGCGUGGGGAGCAAAACAGGAUUGAGAUACCCCGUGUAGUC
RNAcentral lists this ribosomal RNA (279 nucleotides) under uncultured bacterium. RNAcentral describes it as "partial 16S ribosomal RNA". It matches the Rfam family "Bacterial small subunit ribosomal RNA", at positions 524 to 795 of the family's 1533-position model. The record is from RNAcentral.